RNAcentral lists this ribosomal RNA (963 nucleotides) under uncultured Ascomycota. RNAcentral's name for it is "eukaryotic LSU rRNA". The stretch from base 314 to 963 matches the Rfam family "Eukaryotic large subunit ribosomal RNA", at positions 1 to 663 of the family's 3401-position model. The record is from RNAcentral. Lineage: Eukaryota; Fungi; Ascomycota.
AUCGAUGAAGAACGCAGUGAAAUGCGAUAAGUAAUGUGAAUUGCAGAAUCUCGUGAAUCAUCGAAUCUUUGAACGCACAUUGCGCCCUAUGGUAUUCCGUAGGGCAUGCCUGUCUGAGCGUUAGUUCCCCACACACUCAAGUAUCCUUUAUUUGGGAUUCUUGGAAUGAUUUGGAGAGGUGUCUCGUCAUAGAGAUGCCCUCCAGAAAUUCAUAGGCAGUAUGGUUUGCACCGGAACCAGACGUAAUAAUAAUAAAAUCGUUUGUUUGGGAAUAAUUGUGCUUGCCUUAACCCACCCAUUUCUCUCAUUUGGGUGACCUCAGAUCAGGUAGGGAUACCCGCUGAACUUAAGCAUAUCAAUAAGCGGAGGAAAAGAAACCAACAGGGAUUGCCCUAGUAACGGCGAGUGAAGCGGCAAAAGCUCAGAUUUGAAAUCUGUCGCCAUUUUGGCGGCCGAGUUGUAGUCUGUAGAGGUGUAUUCGAGUGUGGCUUUGGCUUAAGUUCCUUGGAACAGGGCGUCAUAGAGGGUGAGAACCCCGUUAACGGCCUUUGUCUUAUGCUCAUGUGAAUCUCCUUCAACGAGUCGAGUUGUUUGGGAAUGCAGCUCUAAAUGGGUGGUAAAUUCCAUCUAAAGCUAAAUACUGGCAAGAGACCGAUAGCGCACAAGUAGAGUGAUCGAAAGAUGAAAAGAACUCUGAACAGAGAGUUAAAUAGUACGUGAAAUUGUUGAAAGGGAAGCACUUCCGACCAGACGCACUUGCAGCCGAUCAAUCUUCAUUCUUGAGGGUGCACUCGGUUGUCUGUGGGUCAGCAUCAGUUAUGGCGGUGGGAAAAAGACUAAGGGAAUGUGGCUCCUUUCGGGGAGUGUUAUAACUCUUGGUGCAAUGCUGCCUGCUGUGACUGAGGACCGCGCUUCGGUGAGGAUGCUGGCAUAAUGGUCGUAAGUGACCCGUCUUGAAACACG